This 207-nucleotide ribosomal RNA is filed under the name uncultured Mesotoga sp. RNAcentral's name for it is "partial 16S ribosomal RNA". It matches the Rfam family "Bacterial small subunit ribosomal RNA", at positions 568 to 774 of the family's 1533-position model. The record is from RNAcentral. Lineage: Bacteria; Thermotogati; Thermotogota; Thermotogae; Kosmotogales; Kosmotogaceae.
AGCGUAGGUGGCCUAACAUGUCAACUGUGAAAACCCGGAGCUCAACUCCGGACUUGCAGUUGAAACUGGUAGGCUUGAGGACGGUAGAGGAGGACGGAACUGCCAGUGUAGGGGUAAAAUCCUUAGAUAUUGGCAGGAACGCCGGUGACGAAGGUGGUUUUCUGGGCCGGUUCUGACACUGAUGCUCGAAAGCCAGGGGAGCGAACG